Molecule: ribosomal RNA, 253 nt
Filed under: uncultured bacterium
Lineage: Bacteria
Description: partial 16S ribosomal RNA
Rfam family: Bacterial small subunit ribosomal RNA
Source: RNAcentral
UACGAAGGGGGCGAGCGUUGUUCGGAUUUACUGGGCGUAAAGGGCGCGCAGGCGGUUCUGUUUGUCGAGUGUGAAAGCCCCGGGCUCAACCUGGGAACUGCGCUCGAAACGGCGGAACUAGAGUCCGGGAGAGGUGAGUGGAACUCCGAGUGUAGAGGUGAAAUUCGUAGAUAUUCGGAAGAACACCAGUGGCGAAGGCGGCUCACUGGCCCGGUACUGACGCUCAGGUGCGAAAGCGUGGGGAGCAAACAGG